UAUGUGCUUGCACAUUCUGGACGUCGACCGGCGCACGGGUGAGUAUCGCGUAUCCAACCUGCCCCUUACUUGGGGAUACCCCGUUGAAAGACGGCCUAAUACCCGAUGUGUUUCAUUGACGGCAUCCGAUAUGAAACAAAGGUUUUCCGGUAAGGGAUGGGGAUGCGUCUGAUUAGCUUGUUGGCGGGGCAACGGCCCACCAAGGCGACGAUCAGUAGGGGUUCUGAGAGGAAGGUCCCCCACAUUGGAACUGAGACACGGUCCAAACUCCUACGGGAGGCAGCAGUGAGGAAUAUUGGUCAAUGGACGCAAGUCUGGACCAGCCAAGUAGCGUGCAGGAUGACGGCCCUAUGGGUUGUAAACUGCUUUUAUGUGGGAAUAAAGUGGCGCACGUGUGCGCCAUUGCAUGUACCUCAUGAAUAAGGACCGGCUAAUUCCGUGCCAGCAGCCGCGGUAAUACGGAAGGUCCGGGCGUUAUCCGGAUUUAUUGGGUUUAAAGGGAGUGUAGGCGGUCUGUUAAGCGUGUUGUGAAAUUUAGGUGCUCAACGUUUAACUUGCAGCGCGAACUGUCAGACUUGAGUACACGCAGCGCAGGCGGAAUUCAUGGUGUAGCGGUGAAAUGCUUAGAUAUCAUGAGGAACUCCGAUCGCGAAGGCAGCCUGCGGGAGUGUUACUGACGCUUAAGCUCGAAGGUGCGGGUAUCGAACAGGAUUAGAUACCCUGGUAGUCCGCACUGUAAACGAUGGAUGCCCGCCGUUGGCGCCCCUGCGCCUGCGGCCAA
This 781-nucleotide ribosomal RNA is filed under the name uncultured Bacteroidota bacterium. RNAcentral's name for it is "bacterial SSU rRNA". It matches the Rfam family "Bacterial small subunit ribosomal RNA", at positions 73 to 850 of the family's 1533-position model. The record is from RNAcentral. Lineage: Bacteria; Pseudomonadati; Bacteroidota.